GUCAGGCUGGGUUUCAGUUCACAGUUCAGAUUGCUGUGUCAUGGUGACAUGCAAACGUUUUAAAUUGCAUGUAAAUGUCUUUACUCUGGCAAGUGAUAGACAUUUGGACCUUGUGUUGCCAUCAAUGGGCUGAAAUGGGGUAUAACUGCAUCCACAGUCAGUCUGAUAUUCUUCCCAACACUUGGGGAUGGCUGUGUGCAGACACUGGGAGAGUAGAGGCCUGCUGGCUGCUUCAUCCAUGAUAUCACUGAUCCCAUCUGUGACUUCAGCUUGGGAUCUGAUGUGGAUCCUUAGGGUGGAAAAUUCCCGUGACCUGGUCAAUUUUAUCUGAAGGGAUGAAGGGUCGAUAUUUCCAUCCUCUACUCCUGUGUCUGCUGAAUGUUGGAACACUGCAUGUGUUUAAAGAGCCCCAAAGGGAAGGCAGAAGACUGAGAGUUUCAUUCUAAGCAAUGUGGAUGGACAUGAAACCAAUAAAUCAUCUUGAAAGUCAAGAAGGACCAUGUUUUCUUGAACUAUGGUGUGUUAGUCCAUGUGUGUGUCCUUUUGGGCCAAUCCUUACUCUUGCCUCCUGUAUAUUAUGUGC
This 583-nucleotide long non-coding RNA is filed under the name Heterocephalus glaber (naked mole-rat). RNAcentral's name for it is "lncRNA (ENSHGLG00100049428.1)". The record is from RNAcentral. Lineage: Eukaryota; Metazoa; Chordata; Mammalia; Rodentia; Bathyergidae.